AUGCCUUACACAUGCAAGUCGAACGGCAGCACGGAGCCUGCUCUGGUGGCGAGUGGCGAACGGGUGAGUAAUAUAUCGGAACGUACCCUAGAGUGGGGGAUAACGUAGCGAAAGUUACGCUAAUACCGCAUACGAUCUAAGGAUGAAAGUGGGGGAUCGCAAGACCUCAUGCUCGUGGAGCGGCCGAUAUCUGAUUAGCUAGUUGGUAGGGUAAAAGCCUACCAAGGCAUCGAUCAGUAGCUGGUCUGAGAGGACGACCAGCCACACUGGAACUGAGACACGGUCCAGACUCCUACGGGAGGCAGCAGUGGGGAAUUUUGGACAAUGGGCGAAAGCCUGAUCCAGCAAUGCCGCGUGAGUGAAGAAGGCCUUCGGGUUGUAAAGCUCUUUUGUCAGGGAAGAAACGGUGAAAGCUAAUAUCUUUUGCUAAUGACGGUACCUGAAGAAUAAGCACCGGCUAACUACGUGCCAGCAGCCGCGGUAAUACGUAGGGUGCAAGCGUUAAUCGGAAUUACUGGGCGUAAAGCGUGCGCAGGCGGUUUUGUAAGUCUGAUGUGAAAUCCCCGGGC
This 569-nucleotide ribosomal RNA is filed under the name uncultured bacterium. RNAcentral's name for it is "bacterial SSU rRNA". It matches the Rfam family "Bacterial small subunit ribosomal RNA", at positions 44 to 608 of the family's 1533-position model. The record is from RNAcentral.